Molecule: ribosomal RNA, 506 nt
Filed under: uncultured bacterium
Lineage: Bacteria
Description: bacterial SSU rRNA
Rfam family: Bacterial small subunit ribosomal RNA
Source: RNAcentral
CUGGCUCAGAACGACGCUGGCGGCGCGUUUAAGCAUGCAAGUCGAGCGGCAAGGGCCUUCGGGCCCCUAGAGCGGCGGACGGGUGAGUAACACGUGGACAAUCUGCCCCCGGCCCGGGAUAGCCCAGGGAAACCUGGAUUAAUACCGGAUGAGACGGGACCCGCGAUGGCGGGAUCCGGGAAAGGCGCUGCGGCGCCGCCGGGGGAUGAGUCUGCGUCCCAUUAGCUAGACGGCGGGGUAACGGCCCACCGUGGCGACGAUGGGUAGCCGGCCUGAGAGGGUGGACGGCCACAUUGGAACUGAGACACGGUCCAGACUCCUACGGGAGGCAGCAGCUAAGAAUCUUCCGCAAUGGGCGAAAGCCUGACGGAGCCGACGCCGCGUGAACGAAGAAGGCCGUGAGGUUGUAAAGUUCUUUUCGGGAGGGGAACAACCGUGGCAGGGAAUGGCCGCGGGAUGACGUGAAUCCCGGAAUAAGCCCCGGCUAACUACGUGCCAGCCGCAGC